GCUGGAAUAGCUUAGUUGGGAGGAUGUUAGACUGGAGAUCUAAAGGUCCUUGGUUCCAUCCUGAGUUUUGGCA
RNAcentral lists this transfer RNA (73 nucleotides) under Sarcophilus harrisii (Tasmanian devil). It matches the Rfam family "tRNA". From Rfam's summary of the family: Transfer RNA (tRNA) molecules are approximately 80 nucleotides in length. Their secondary structure includes four short double-helical elements and three loops (D, anti-codon, and T loops). Lineage: Eukaryota; Metazoa; Chordata; Mammalia; Dasyuromorphia; Dasyuridae. The record is from Rfam by way of RNAcentral.